RNAcentral lists this small nuclear RNA (20 nucleotides) under Arabidopsis thaliana (thale cress). RNAcentral describes it as "snRNA_14784". Lineage: Eukaryota; Viridiplantae; Streptophyta; Magnoliopsida; Brassicales; Brassicaceae. The record is from RNAcentral.
UCGAAUAUGACUUGUUGUCA